RNAcentral lists this ribosomal RNA (329 nucleotides) under Phaeomonas parva. RNAcentral's name for it is "partial Bacterial small subunit ribosomal RNA". It matches the Rfam family "Bacterial small subunit ribosomal RNA", at positions 1 to 362 of the family's 1533-position model. The record is from RNAcentral. Lineage: Eukaryota; Pinguiophyceae; Pinguiochrysidales; Pinguiochrysidaceae.
AUGGAGAGUUUGAUCCUGGCUCAGGAUGAACGCUGGCGGUAUGCCUAACACAUGCAAGUCGAACGCGAGCUUCGGCUCGAGUGGCAGACGGGUGAGUAACACGUAAGAAUCUGCCUUUAGGAAGGGGACAACAGUUGGAAACGGCUGCUAAUACCCUAUAUGUCGUAAGAUGAAAGGUUUUCCGCCUAAAGAGGAGCUUGCGUCUGAUUAGUUAGUUGGUAAGGUAACGGCUUACCAAGACGAAGAUCAGUAGCUGGUUUGAGAGGAUGAUCAGCCACACUGGAACUGAGACACGGUCCAGACUCCUACGGGAGGCAGCAGUGGGGAAU